Molecule: unclassified non-coding RNA, 391 nt
Filed under: soil metagenome
Description: partial contains 5.8S ribosomal RNA, internal transcribed spacer 2, and large subunit ribosomal RNA
Rfam family: 5.8S ribosomal RNA (bases 1-122)
Source: RNAcentral
GAUGAAGAACGUAGCGAAAUGAGAUACUUGGUGUGAAUUGCAGAAUCCCGUGAACCAUCGAGUCUUUGAACGCAAGUUGCGCCCGAAGCCAUUAGGCCGAGGGCACGCCUGCCUGGGCGUCACACGUCGUUGCCCCCCCAUCUACUCCUUCGGGAUUGCGGGGGGCGGAUGAUGGCCUCCCGUGCGCCUCGUCGCGCGGUUGGCAUAAAUGCCAAGUCCUCGGCGACGCACGCCACGACAAUCGGUGGUUGCGAAACCUCGGUUGCCCGUCGUGUGCGGUCGUCGCGCAUCGAGGGCUCGAAAAAAUUGCCGGGCUCCGGCUCGGCUUUCAACGCGACCCCAGGUCAGGCGGGGUUACCCGCUGAAUUUAAGCAUAUCAAUAAGCGGAGGA